GGAGGGUACAGCUCAGUGGUAGAGCACAUGCCUAGCAGGCAUGAGGUCCUAGGUUUAAUCCCCAGCACCUCCA
This is a non-coding RNA of Camelus ferus (Wild Bactrian camel), 73 nucleotides long. The record is from Rfam. Lineage: Eukaryota; Metazoa; Chordata; Mammalia; Artiodactyla; Camelidae.